CAAUAGCGUAUAUUAAAGUUGUUGCAGUUAAAAAGCUCGUAGUUGGACCUUGGACCUGGACAGGCGGUCCGCCUCACGGCGUGUACUGUCCUGCUGGGUCUUUCCUCUUGGUGAUCUGUUGUUUCGGCAGCAGGGAACCAGGACUUUUACUUUGAAAAAAUUAGAGUGUUCAAAGCAGGCUCGACGCCGGAAUAUAUUAGCAUGGAAUAAUAAAAUAGGACGUGCGGUUCUAUUUUGUUGGUUUUUGGAAUCGCCGUAAUGAUUAAUAGGGACAGUCGGGGGCAUUAGUACUCGCAUGCUAGAGGUGAAAUUCUUGGAUUUUGUGAAGACUAACUUCUGCGAAAGCAUUUGCCAAGGAUGUUUUCAUUAA
This 370-nucleotide ribosomal RNA is filed under the name uncultured eukaryote. Its description in RNAcentral is "partial 18S ribosomal RNA". It matches the Rfam family "Eukaryotic small subunit ribosomal RNA", at positions 592 to 976 of the family's 1831-position model. The record is from RNAcentral.